UUUGUGCAAAGUUGUAAAAAAAUUGACAAUUAUUAGUUUAUUUCUUUACAUAUUUUUUAACUAAGAGAUAAUUUGUGUCUUCCUAAGAUAAGGUUCUUCUUGCAUAGUAUUCUGUAAGAGGAAGAAACAACACCAAAUGACAAUAUUUAGGGUUAAGAAUCUAAAUUCUUAACUGGCCCAAAGAAUAUGAGUGGUGAUACUCUACUUAGUUGUUGCACUUGUCAUUCACAUGCCCUACAUUUAAGGAUGUAGUAGCUUGAUGAGGAAUCCCUAAUGAGGAGCCUGUAGAAUAUGUAUAUCAAUUAAGAACAGGGUUUUGUUUAACAAAUUUAUUUAAGCUUACAAAUGUAUCUAAUGUAUUUAUUUUAAUAAUAAUAAUAAUAAUAAUAAUAAUAAUUUCACUGAUGUCAAAAUCAAAACGCUGUAAGGAUUUUUUUUUUAAAAAAAUACCAAUAAAGUAAAAAUAAUAAUAACAUUGUAUCAAAUAAAACGCUCUUAUUUAGUGUCACAUACAUGCCUUUUUGAUGCAGAGGUUAAAUUUUCUCAGCAUCAAAAAUUUGAAACCACAUUCUGAAAAGGAGAAGGAGGAGAAAAGAAAUCACGUCAUACACAUACACAAACUUAUGUUUGACACAAAAGUGUGUUUGUAAGUAAAAUUUCCAUAGCAGAGUCCUCAUACAAGGGAUAGCACAUGUAUUGAUAAGUUGUAACAACAAACUUGAUGCAAUAUCUUUGUUGAUAACACUGCAAAAACAUUCAUGCCUAUCAUAGGAUAUUAUUAGUACCCAACAGAAGAAAGUGCAAAGAAUAUCAUUAGUUUCUUUCCACUAAAGACAGUGAGUUUAUUAAAUUAAACAUACAAAUGAGUAUAAAAAAAUCCAUUCAAAAUUGUAAUUUUACUGGGUAGCUAUUCAUCUUUUCAUUUCUACUCAUGCUUUUAAAGUUACGAGUGACCAUUUUCCAACUACAUAAUCAAUUUCAGUAUUGAGCCAUUUUUUUCUGUCUUUCCAUUUUUUUUAGAAAAAAUAAACAAUCAUUGAUAAUAAACAAGUAAAUGAAUGAAUAUACCCAUAAAAAUAAAAUCAAAAAUAAAAUCAAUUUAAGUGAUAAUACUCAUUCCUAACAAUCAUAUCAUAUUUUGGUUUAAAUCGCAUGCUCAUUAUCUAAUCUUAUUGAUUCAGUCAACUUGAUUCAUGUUCACAUUCUUAUUUUCAUGAGGAGAAAAUCAAUAGCUUUUAUACCCAUCGCACAACACUCUUUUCAUCUUUCUGGAUUUCAUGAAUUUAUUUACAGUAUGAUAUGUAACUAAUGAAGAAAAUUUCUUAAUUUAAAUCAAGAAAUGUCCGUUUAAAAUGUAAUUCUAUGAAACACCACAAAACUCCAAGUAUUUUUCUGAAGGAACUAUUUAUAAGCAUCAUUUGUUUUCUUAGUAGAAACCAGACAGUACAACAACUAUAACUUAGUACUAUACAAAAAAUCAAAUUUAAAUAAUGAAUAAGAUUAAAACCACCUAAAAUGUCGAAUAUCCAUUUCGUACAUGAUGUUAUGAAAAUUAGAGUCUAGGAUACUAAAAUUGCGGUUAUAUUAAUUAUAUUUAAUAAGAAUUAAAAACUUCAAAAAAUAUGUCAAAGUGGAUAGUAGUAGCAGUAAUAAAAUUGUGGUUGCAUUAGCCAUAUAUAUAUAUAUAUAUAUAUAUAUAUAAUAUUACAAAUAUAAUGUAAUUAUAUAUUUAUUCAUAAAAUUACCAUGUGUUUAUAAUGAAUGUGUGAUUUGAGCCACUAUUAUUGGUCAAGCAAACAAAUCAUCUUACUAUCACUUGAGUAAGAAAAUUAUUGCAUAUGACAUUUCUUCAGAAAAUGAAGUUUCUUGCAAUCACAUGAUUAUGUUGACAAAAUUAUACUUAUAAAAAACUUGUACAAAAAAUAAUAUAUAUACAUAUUCAUGUGUUUUAACUAGGUACACACUUAUAUAAGUAUACUUAUAAGUGUAAAUUUAAUAAUACUAUUUCAAUUGAAUAACAUUAUAAUAAUUUAUUAAAACUUAAAUACAUAAUAAACUUAAUAAUGGACCAUACAUUAAUAAUACAAGUUGCAUAUGUACAUUAAAGAUUCUUUCAAAAGCAAGUGAAUCUAUCUAGAUCCCAUCAUUACAGCUAUGCGUAGAAAUAAAGAAAAGAGAAUAUAUA
Molecule: long non-coding RNA, 2185 nt
Filed under: Physcomitrium patens
Lineage: Eukaryota; Viridiplantae; Streptophyta; Bryopsida; Funariales; Funariaceae
Description: long non-coding RNA (PPAT_LNC012234)
Source: RNAcentral